CGGAACGGGUGAGUAAUACAUCGGAACGUGCCCAGUAGUGGGGGAUAACCCGGCGAAAGCCGGACUAAUACCGCAUACGACCUACGGGUGAAAGCAGGGGAUCGCAAGACCUUGCGCUAUCGGAGCGGCCGAUGUCAGAUUAGCUUGUUGGCGGGGUAAAAGCCCACCAAGGCGACGAUCUGUAGCUGGUCUGAGAGGACGACCAGCCACACUGGGACUGAGACACGGCCCAG
Molecule: ribosomal RNA, 233 nt
Filed under: uncultured bacterium
Lineage: Bacteria
Description: partial 16S ribosomal RNA
Rfam family: Bacterial small subunit ribosomal RNA
Source: RNAcentral